RNAcentral lists this ribosomal RNA (427 nucleotides) under uncultured bacterium. Its description in RNAcentral is "bacterial SSU rRNA". It matches the Rfam family "Bacterial small subunit ribosomal RNA", at positions 355 to 796 of the family's 1533-position model. The record is from RNAcentral.
UAGGGAAUAUUGCACAAUGGAGGAAACUCUGAUGCAGCGACGCCGCGUGAGUGACGAAGGCCUUCGGGUUGUAAAGCUCUGUUCUCAGGGAAAAAGCAAGUGAUUGUACCUGAGGAGAAAGGACCGGCUAACUUCGUGCCAGCAGCCGCGGUAAGACGAGGGGUCCAAGCGUUGUUCGGAAUCAUUGGGCGUAAAGCGGGUGUAGGUGGCUCUAUAAGUCAGAAGUGAAAGCCCCGAGCUUAACUCGGGAAGUGCUUUUGAUACUGCAGAGCUUGAAUGUGGGAGAGGGUAGUGGAAUUCCAGGUGUAGUGGUGAAAUACGUAGAUAUCUGGAGGAACACCGGUGGCGAAGGCGGCUACCUGGCCCAACAUUGACACUGAGACCCGAAAGCGUGGGGAUCAAACAGGAUUAGAUACCCCCGUAGUCC